This 430-nucleotide ribosomal RNA is filed under the name Pseudomonadota bacterium. RNAcentral's name for it is "Proteobacteria bacterium partial 16S ribosomal RNA". It matches the Rfam family "Bacterial small subunit ribosomal RNA", at positions 355 to 776 of the family's 1533-position model. The record is from RNAcentral. Lineage: Bacteria; Pseudomonadati; Pseudomonadota.
UGGGUAAUAUUGGACAAUGGGGGGAACCCUGAUCCAGCCAUGCCGCGUGUGUGAAGAAGGCCUUAUGGUUGUAAAGCACUUUAAGCGAGGAUGAGGGUACUGGUAUUAAUACUACCAGGUACUGGACGUUACUCGCAGAAUAAGCACCGGCUAACUCUGUGCCAGCAGCCGCGGUAAUACAGAGGGUGCGAGCGUUAAUCGGAUUUACUGGGCGUAAAGCGUGCGUAGGCGGCUAAUUGAGUCGGAUGUGAAAUCCCCGAGCUUAACUUCGGAACUGCAUCCAAAACUGGCGAGCUAGAGUAGGGCAGAGGGUGGUGGAAUUUCCUGUGUAGCGGUGAAAUGCGUAGAUAUAGGAAGGAACACCAGUGGCGGAGGCGACAACCUGGGCUCAUACUGACACUGAGGUGCGAAAGAGUGGGGAGCAAACAGG